AUACGGAAGGUCCGGGCGUUAUCCGGAUUUAUUGGGUUUAAAGGGAGCGCAGGCGGAGAUGCAAGCGUGACGUCAAAUUUCGGGGCUCAACCCCGUCUCGCGUCGCGAACUGCGUCCCUUGGUUGCGGGAAGGGGAGGCGGAACUCGUGGUGUAGCGGUGAAAUGCAUAGAUAUCACGAAGAACUCCGAUCGCGAAGGCAGCCUUCCGGCCCGUCAACGACGCUCAUGCUCGAAGGUGCGGGUAUCAAACAGGAUUAGAUACCCUGGUAGUCCGUGCAGUAAACGAUGGACACCCGCGGUUUGGCCUGUAUGGCUGAGCCGCCAAGCGAAAGCGUUAAGUGUCCCACCUGGGGAGUACGCCGGCAACGGUGAAACUUAAAGGAAUUGACGGGG
RNAcentral lists this ribosomal RNA (393 nucleotides) under uncultured bacterium. Its description in RNAcentral is "partial 16S ribosomal RNA". It matches the Rfam family "Bacterial small subunit ribosomal RNA", at positions 523 to 918 of the family's 1533-position model. The record is from RNAcentral.